CAGCCGCCGCGGUAAAACCAGCACCUCAAGUGGUCAGGAUGAUUAUUGGGCCUAAAGCAUCCGUAGCCGGCUCUGUAAGUUUUCGGUUAAAUCCACACGCUCAACGUAUGGGCUGCCGGGAAUACUGCACAGCUAGGGAGUGGGAGAGGUAGACGGUACUCGGUAGGAAGGGGUAAAAUCCUUUGAUCUAUUGAUGACCACCUGUGGCGAAGGCGGUCUACCAGAACACGUCCGACGGUGAGGGAUGAAAGCUGGGGGAGCAAACCGGAUUAGAUACCCGGGUAGUCCCAGCUGUAAACUAUGCAAACUCAGUGAUGCAUUGGCUUGUGGCCAAUGCAGUGCUGCAGGGAAGCCGUUAAGUUUGCCGCCUGGGAAGUACGUACGCAAGUAUGAAACUUGAAGGAAUUGGCGGGGGAGCAC
This 420-nucleotide ribosomal RNA is filed under the name uncultured Nitrososphaerota archaeon. Its description in RNAcentral is "bacterial SSU rRNA". It matches the Rfam family "Archaeal small subunit ribosomal RNA", at positions 459 to 879 of the family's 1478-position model. The record is from RNAcentral. Lineage: Archaea; Thermoproteati; Nitrososphaerota.